UACGUAGGGGCCGAGCGUUGUCCGGAGUUAUUGGGCGUAAAGCGCGCGCAGGCGGCCUCGCGCGCCGGCGUGAAAGCCCCCCGGCUUAACCGGGGGAGGGUCGUUUGGGGACGGCGGGGCUUGAGGGCGGGAGAGGUCGGUGGAAUUCCCGGUGUAGUGGUGAAAUGCGUAGAGAUCGGGAGGAACACCUGUGGCGAAGGCGGCCGACUGGGCCGACCCUGACGCUGAGGCGGCGGAAGGCGUGGGGAG
Molecule: ribosomal RNA, 249 nt
Filed under: uncultured bacterium
Lineage: Bacteria
Description: partial 16S ribosomal RNA
Rfam family: Bacterial small subunit ribosomal RNA
Source: RNAcentral